GUGAGGAAUAUUGGACAAUGGAUGGAAAUCUGAUCCAGCCAUGCCGCGUGCAGGAAGACGGCCCUAUGGGUUGUAAACUGCUUUUAUACGGGUGCAAUAAGGUCUAUGCAUAGAUUGAUGAGAGUACCGUAUGAAUAAGCAUCGGCUAACUCCGUGCCAGCAGCCGCGGUAAUACGGAGGAUGCGAGCGUUAUCCGGAUUUAUUGGGUUUAAAGGGUGCGUAGGCGGCUUUGUAAGUCAGCGGUGAAAUUUUGCAGCUUAACUGUAAAAGCGACGUUGAUACUGUGAAGCUAGGAUUUGGUUGCUGUGGGCGGAAUGUGUGGUGUAGCGGUGAAAUGCAUAGAGAUCACACAGAAUAUCGAUUGCGAAGGCAGCUCACAAAGCCAAUAUUGACGCUGAGGCACGAAAGUGUGGGGAUCAAACAGGAUUAGAAACCCUGGUAGUCC
RNAcentral lists this ribosomal RNA (445 nucleotides) under uncultured bacterium. Its description in RNAcentral is "partial 16S ribosomal RNA". It matches the Rfam family "Bacterial small subunit ribosomal RNA", at positions 354 to 796 of the family's 1533-position model. The record is from RNAcentral.